RNAcentral lists this ribosomal RNA (509 nucleotides) under Glomus sp. Glo1A. Its description in RNAcentral is "SSU rRNA". It matches the Rfam family "Eukaryotic small subunit ribosomal RNA", at positions 569 to 1078 of the family's 1831-position model. The record is from RNAcentral. Lineage: Eukaryota; Fungi; Glomeromycota; Glomeromycetes; Glomerales; Glomeraceae.
AGCAGCCGCGGUAAUUCCAGCUCCAAUAGCGUAUAUUAAAGUUGUUGCAGUUAAAAAGCUCGUAGUUGAAUUUCGGGAUCAAUGUUUCGGUCAUGCCGUUGGUAUGUACUGAUAUUAUUGGUUUCUCACCUUCUAAAGAACCGUAAUGCCAUUAAUUUGGUGUCACGGGGAAUUAGGACUGUUGCCUUGAAAAAAUUAGAGUGUUUAAAGCAGGCUCACGCUUGAAUACAUUAGCAUGGAAUAAUGAAAUAGGACAUCCGAUUCUAUUUUGUUGGUUUCUAGGAUCGAUGUAAUGAUUAAUAGGGAUAGUUGGGGGCAUUAGUAUUCAAUUGUCAGAGGUGAAAUUCUUGGAUUUAUUGAAGACUAACUACUGCGAAAGCAUUUGCCAAGGAUGUUUUCAUUAAUCAAGAACGAAAGUUAGGGGAUCGAAGACGAUCAGAUACCGUCGUAGUCUUAACCAUAAACUAUGCCGACUAGGGAUCGGAUGAUGUUAAUUUUUUAAUGACUCA